GACGAACGCUGGCGGCGUGCUUAACACAUGCAAGUCGAGCGGUAAGGCCCUUUCGGGGGUACGACGAGCGGCGAACGGGUGAGUAACACGUGGGUGACCUGCCCUCCAGCUCUGGGAGUAAGCCUGGGAAACGUGGGUCUAAUACUGGAUAUGACUCCACGGUGCAUGUCGUGGGGUGGAAAGCCUUGUGCGGCUGAGGAUGGGCCCGCGGCCUAUCAGCUUGUUGGGUGGGGGG
RNAcentral lists this ribosomal RNA (235 nucleotides) under uncultured bacterium. RNAcentral's name for it is "partial 16S ribosomal RNA". It matches the Rfam family "Bacterial small subunit ribosomal RNA", at positions 28 to 260 of the family's 1533-position model. The record is from RNAcentral.